This 2848-nucleotide long non-coding RNA is filed under the name Patiria miniata (bat star). Its description in RNAcentral is "uncharacterized LOC119728788". Lineage: Eukaryota; Metazoa; Echinodermata; Asteroidea; Valvatida; Asterinidae. The record is from RNAcentral.
UAUGGUGUGAUUAUUACUGGGUUGUGUGUUUUCUUCCAGUGAUUUUUGAAAUUUCUAGUCUCUGACUAUUCACAGAUCUCUGUCAAAAACAGAACCAAAUCAAAGUCGUAAAGAAAGAAAUAAUACUUGAAAUCAGUGUCAUUUAUUUCUCAAAGGUACGAUACGAUAUCGGUAGUGAGAGAAAUUAAAUUUAAAAAAGUGUUAUUUUUCUCACUAAGGAAACAAAAGAAAUGAAAUGAUAUACGAUACGAUACGAAAUUACACAAAUCAAGGUAAUUUCGUUAAUGACAGGCGUGAAAUAAAUAAUACUUGGAAUUAUAUAAUCGACGAAAGAGAAACAACAAAAUUUAUAUGAACAGUUAAAUCAAAGCGUCGGUGAUUUGAAAAAGUAUAAUUUUGCUCAUCCACAAAAAAAUUGUAGAGAAAGAAACAAUACUUGAAAAUCAGUGUUAUUUAGGUCUCAAAGGUGUGAUACGACAUGAAACGAAGGUGGCGAUACGGCAUGACAUGAUAAGAUAUGAUACGUUACGUUACCAUACGAUACAAAACGAUAACGGUGGUGAGAACAAUUAUAUAUUUUUUUUAAGUGUUAUUUUUCUCAGCCACAAAAAAAAACGAAACGAUACUAAAGGAAACGAAAUAGAAACAAAAUGAUUUACGAUACGCUACGAAGUGAUACGAAUUUCAAUUUUUUUUCAGUUUCAAAAAAAGUUAGCCACGAAAUGAUUUAUGAUAAAAAAAUACUAGAAAUCAUGCAACCAACAAAUGAAAGAAAUGCGACAACACAAGUAAACUACAGUAAAUUUCAACAAAGCAGCGGUGAGACAAAGUAUAUUUGAAAAGGUGUUUUCAAAACAAAACACAAUCGCGGAUUUUAUUGGAAGUAUAGGCGAUAGUGACAAGAAAAACCAAUGUCAUGCUGCAGGUUUAUCAUCAAGUGCAUGUGACACCAUCUCUCUUUGUGAUUGGUUUCAUUAUUGAAAUGAUCAGCUUUCUGCCUCCAUUCUUGACUGCAUCUCAAGACAUUAUGUCAGGUGUCGCCUUUACUAGAUUUAUUCCAGCCAUGUCUUAUAGCUUUUAAUUAAACAGUAAGUCCGAUCUUUAAAUGCAUCGGCAGGGAUUUCUGUGGCUUUAUGUAUCUUACUAAUUUUUUUUCCAGCCGCAUUUUGAUUUUUCACCAGUAAGUCCGAUAUUCAAUGAUCGGCAGUAACACUUCUGAUAUCUGUCUCCUUCAGAAUUUAUAAUUUUGUUGAUAAGCAUCAUGGCACUAUGCCAUCUUCAAAAGUAAUUUUUAGUCUUGUCUUGAAUUUAAAAAAAAAUUGUAAGUCCGAUCUUCAACAAUCGGCAGGGAUGCACUCGUUGCAUAAUGUCACCUUUGGUUAAAUUGUUGCCUUGUCUUCGAUUUAGAGUGAGUCCAGUCUGCAACAAGUAGCAGACCGUGUUCAACAUUAUUGCCUUCAGUAGUCGUAUUUGUAUUAUAGCAUUAAUGCAUUUAUCAAAGUAAGCCCUAUCGAUUUGCAGCUUUCUUUAACACACUCGUUUCUUUUUUUCUCCUCAAAAUAUCUAUUUUGUUGCCUGGGAUUAAAAUAAGUAAGUCUUUUCUAACCAUCUGUAGAGAUACAAUGUGACCUAGCUAGGCUGGGUUGAGUUUUCUUUCUCCCUGUAGCUCAUUCAGCCAAGAGAAUAUGAACAUCUACAAGUGUGAGACUGACCAGAUGAGGAGAGGCUGCUUUGUCAGGAUGGAAACGAAUCCCUCCAAGGAACCGGAAGCAGGGAGGACGACAGAUGGAUGAACUGAUGACUCUGCUUGCAGGGCUACCCAUUACUGCUUUAUAAGAAGAUGGAAACUAGAACGCCUGGAUGAGAGUGGCUGGAUGAAGAAGCUUCAGGUUGAGGAUGACCUUGCCCUCCCCACCCCACUUCAGCUGGAACUAAGGAGCCGGAAGCAGGGAGGAGGACCAACAGAUGAACGGAUGACCUGCUUGUCGGGCUCUCCAUUUCUGAUUUUUGUAAAAAUGGAGCCUGUUAUACAUGGAUGGCAGUGCCUGGAUGAGGAAGCUUCUGGUUGAGGAUGACCUCUGCCCUUCCCACCCCACUUCAGCUGGAACUGAGGAGCCGGAAGCAGGGAGGAGGACCAACGGAUGACCUGCUUGUCGGGCUUCCCAUUUCUAAUUUUUGAAAAAAUAGGGCCUUUUAUAUGUGGAUGACAGUGGCUGGAUGAAGAAGUUUCUGGUUGAGGAUGACUUUGCCCACCCCACCCCACUUCGGCUGGAACUAAGGAGAUGGAAGCAGGGAGGAGGACCAACAGAUGAGUGUUGUCUCUGCUUAUUGAACUUGCCGUUUGAGAAUUUGUGAGGUGGAUUUACUAAAAAAAACCAAUGAUUUAACAAUUUGAUGUAAAAAGGAGGGUAAUUCCUGGAGCAUUGCCUUAACAGCUACAAUCCUGAAACAACACUGUACACAUUUUUUUUUAAAGACUCAUGGACAAGGAAGCACAACUUACACAAGGAAAUAUUUAAAAAAUGACAGUCUUUUUACUGUGUUGGACAACCAAACAGGAAUUGUUACUGAUGUGACCUAGCUUGCCUAGGCCGAGAAGUGUUUUUUUUUAUUUUACAGAAUGGAGAUUGUCACAGGGAAAAUCUCAAGCCAUUACUUCAGGAGAAUGACCGAUGUCUGGGAAUCGGAAGCAGAGACCAACAGAUGACUGAUGAGCCUGCUUGCUGACCAUGUCAUUUCUGAUACAUGAAAGGAUGAUGACCACCAAGCCUAGAUGAGACUGGCUAGAUGAGCAAGAGGAUGUUCCAUCCUGUCAAGGACACCACUCCAUCACUGAAGAAACGGAAGA